ACCAACCUACUGAAACAUCUCAAAUCAGUUUCAAUCGUUUCAAGUGUCCGUGUUUCUUCCACAUACAGUUUCCACUCCAAGAUGCAGUGUGCCGUCCCCAGCUGUAUAGGAUGGGCCAAACGGGUGAUCUCCUUCCCACAGAACCUUUUGCUACAGAGUCGCUGGAAGCGAGCCAUUGAAGCCGGCACCGGACUUCGCAUCCCGACGUACCACUGCGGUGCUCUUUGCUCGUGGCACUUUGGCGACAAUCAGACGGAAACUCAUGGCUACUGGGAACCGUACCGCUUCCUGCAUAGGAGUGGGAGGACGGUAGAGGUAGGAAGUUGCCGAUUCUGCCUGCGAUUCGAUGAACGGAAGAAGAUGGUUUCCGACAAGGAAGUUUUGGAGAAUGAAGAGUUGGUUGAUUUGGUGAAUUAUGCAUUAAAAAUUAAUUUGGCUGAAGAUUAUAUUCUGAAGGACAUUUGCGAGGAAUGUGAAGCAAAGAUGCAAGUGGUCGAUAAGUGGAUGAAGAGCAGCAAGAAAAGUGAAAAGGAAUACAAAGCUUUGGAAAUUGCCACCAGGAAUAGCAUUUUCAAACCGGUAGAUGAAGCGCUAGUGCCGGAUAGAGCUACGGUAGAGGAAGCUACGGAACCUCUUGAAUAUAACACGAUCAGUUUCGAAAUUGAAUGCAUGAAGGAAGAAGUUGAAAUUGUGCAAGCAUCGAUAGAGCAGGAGCCAGAGCGCAUCACAGAUGAACGCAUUGUGACACUUAUCCAUGAUUACACGAUGGAGGAAGUGUCGAAAGCUUCUCCUAAGAAGGUAACGAAAGAGGAAAUUCAUCUGAGUAGAUCCUUUAAACCAAUCGUCAAACAGUUCAACUUUCCCGCAAAUACUCACAGUAAGCGUGGUCCACCUCGCCGAAAACCAAAAGUUACCCAGGAAAAAGUCAGCUACCGAGAGUACCUCAGCAAAAAGUGCCACGUCUGUGAUACACUUCUAGACACUCCUGAAGACCUGGUGGCUCAUUUAACGCAGCAGCACUGUAAUGGAGCGCCUUAUAAGUGUUCCGAGUGCGACAAAUCAUUCAAAAUCAUAACUUCCUACAAUUGGCACUUGGGAUUCCACGAUCAUUCUAACCGACCACUGAGAUGUUGCUACUGUACAAUGGGUUUCAAAUACAAUUACAGCCUGUUGAGUCACGAAAAUCGCCAACAUGGAGCAAGUCAUCAAAUUCAUGUAAAGAAGAAGCCUACCAAAAGGAGCUUCCCAUGUUUGAAGUGUGACAAAGCGUACAAAACGAACUAUGACCUUUUGGAUCACGAUCGUUACGUUCACCAGAAGCUUCCCGGCACAAUGUGCAAGCUGUGCGGUAAACACUUCCGUAAUCGAACCUCCCUUCGGAAACAUCAUUUGGUUCACACUAGCGAGCGGCCUUACAAUUGUUUGCACUGUGAUGCGGUGUACAGAAAUAUUACCAACCUUGCAAAACACGUAGCACGAAGCCAUGCACAGGACGCUUCAACUGAGGAGCUAACGAGGUGAAACGCGGCAAUGAUGCGGUAGAAUGUGAGGUGUGCUCUGUGAUUUAGUUAAGCACAUCGAGUCGGCACAUUUGGGCAUAACGUAGCCGAAUAAAGUUUCUUUCACCGGAUUGGUUGCACAUUUGCGUCAAUCUUUUCCAGCAGAGG
Molecule: RNA transcript, 1667 nt
Organism: Ochlerotatus camptorhynchus
Lineage: Eukaryota; Metazoa; Arthropoda; Insecta; Diptera; Culicidae
Gene name: zinc finger protein 184-like
Exons: 3
Source: RefSeq, a predicted model, not a curated record